This is a long non-coding RNA of Piliocolobus tephrosceles (Ugandan red Colobus), 510 nucleotides long. RefSeq lists it as uncharacterized. The transcript is spliced from 2 exons. Lineage: Eukaryota; Metazoa; Chordata; Mammalia; Primates; Cercopithecidae. The record is from RefSeq and is a predicted model, not a curated record.
CUUGUCACUGUGAAGGGAAAGCCCACCGAAGAAUGACACCAACAUAGAGGGAAGUAAGCAGAGCCAAGAGGUUGGCAGAGGUGGUUCCUGGUGCCAUUAUCCAGCACCCAGCUACAGACCAGAGAGCUUCAUAAACCUAUUUUUGACCGCAGGGAGAGGCCUAUGCUAGACCACAUCAUGGAACACCUAUGGAUCAACACUGGUCAGGAGGAGACACGAAAGCCAUUCCAGGAGCUGCUCACUGAUCACCAGGACUCCUGAAAGACAGAACUCAUGGUUUCCGUGGGAUAUGAGGCAGACCACAUCCAGUCCUUGUUAGAACAACAAUUUGAUGAUACCAUGGCCUGGUACUGAAUCCUGGGCUACAGGAAACCUGACGCAGGGCUCCCUCAUCACAGUGAAGUCUUGCCUUCAGUGGAUCCCACCCAACAGCCACUAGCCUUUCCCAUAACCUGAAAGAAACUCUUAUGCUUUAACAUACAAAACUUGUUAAGAACAUUGGGAAAAGGU